Molecule: ribosomal RNA, 442 nt
Filed under: uncultured Treponema clone CFS181p
Lineage: Bacteria; Pseudomonadati; Spirochaetota; Spirochaetia; Treponematales; Treponemataceae
Description: bacterial SSU rRNA
Rfam family: Bacterial small subunit ribosomal RNA
Source: RNAcentral
GAGCGGCAAGGAUAGCAAUAUUUCUUAGAGCGGCGGACUGAUGAGUAACGCGUGGGUGACCUGCCCUUAGGUUGGGGAUAGCCCCUAGAAAUAGGGGGUAAUACCGAAUACGGUUAUCUGGUUAUGACUGGAUAAAGAAAGGAGCUUCGGCUUCGCCUGGGGAUGGGCCCGCGUCCCAUUAGCUAGUUGGCGGGGUAAGAGCCCACCAAGGCUCUGAUGGGUAGCCGGCCUGAGAGGGUGAACGGCCACACUGGGACUGAGAUACGGCCCAGANUCCCUACGGGAGGCAGCAGCUAAGAAUAUUCCGCAAUGGGCGAAAGCCUGACGGAGCGACGCCGCGUGGAUGAGGAAGGCCGAAAGGUUGUAAAANCCUUUUGUUGCUGAAGAAUAAGCGGGGGAGGGAAUGCCCCCGUGAUGACGCAAGNCAAUGAAUGAGCCCCGG